Molecule: ribosomal RNA, 306 nt
Filed under: uncultured bacterium
Lineage: Bacteria
Description: partial 16S ribosomal RNA
Rfam family: Bacterial small subunit ribosomal RNA
Source: RNAcentral
GACAGCAGCAGCCGCGGGAAUACGAAGGGUGCAAGCGUUACUCGGAAUUACUGGGCGUAAAGCGUGCGUAGGUGGUGGUUUAAGUCCGUUGUGAAAGCCCUGGGCUCAACCUGGGAAUUGCAGUGGAUACUGGGUCACUAGAGUGUGGUAGAGGAUAGUGGAAUUUCCGGUGUAGCAGUGAAAUGCGUAGAGAUCGGAAGGAACAUCUGUGGCGAAGGCGACUAUCUGGGCCAACACUGACACUGAGGCACGAAAGCGUGGGGAGCAAACAGGAUUAGAUACCCCUGUAGUCCCUGUCUCUUAUAC